GAUUAACGCUGGCGGAAUGCUUUACACAUGCAAGUCGAACGGCAGCACGGACUUCGGUCUGGUGGCGAGUGGCGAACGGGUGAGUAAUGUAUCGGAACGUGCCCAGUCGUGGGGGAUAACGUAGUGAAAAUUACGCUAAUACCGAAUACGUUCUAUGGAUGAAAGCGGGGGAUCGCCAGACCUCGCGCGAUUGGAGCGGCUGAUAACAGAUUCGGUAGUUGGUGGGGGAACGGCCCACCAAGCCAACGAUCUGUAGCUGGUCUGAGAGGACGACCAGCCACACUGGAACUGAGACACGGUCCAGACUCCUGCGGGAGGCAGCAGUGGGGAAUUUUGGACAAUGGGCGAAAGCCUGAUCCAGCCAUUCCGCAUGCAGGAUGAAGGCCCUCGGGUUGUAAACCGCUUUUGUACAGAACGAAAAGGUUUCUACUAAUACUAGGAGCUCAUGACGGUACUGUAAGAAUAAGCACCGGCUAACUACGUGCCAGCCGCCGCGGUAA
This 500-nucleotide ribosomal RNA is filed under the name uncultured bacterium. Its description in RNAcentral is "partial 16S ribosomal RNA". It matches the Rfam family "Bacterial small subunit ribosomal RNA", at positions 28 to 523 of the family's 1533-position model. The record is from RNAcentral.